UUUGAGUGCAGUGUUAGACACAUUAGGGUUGGAAGAAGCGAACAGAAGCGGGACUGAGGUCUGGCCAUGUGAAAGGUGUCUCGGCAAGCCAGUGGCUUUGGCAAAGUAGCGUUGGCAAGGAGAAAGAAGCUUAGCUGUGCUGGACUGUCUCAGACACUGGUAAAUAUACGCAUGCAAAUUGUGGGCCUGUGUUAACGGUUCAGAGUUCCCUUCCCCGGAAAGUCCACUACCAGGUUUCGUCUCCUCCUUUCCCUAUGUCAUCAGCCACCUACCCAGGGCUAGCAGGGCUGUCAGUACCCACUACACACUGUGCCUCUGUGAAACUUGCUCUCCUGGGGAUAGAGUGAAGACAGGUCGGAGAGGUGCGCGACCCCGAACUAGUUGCCGGCAGCACAGCGCGGAACCAUAUUAAAUGCCUGCAUGGGCACUUGAAUCUCUGCCUGCAUCCAGACCCAGAGACUAACUAACCAUUUCCUGUGGAGCUGCAAAGAGCUGCUGACUCAGUGCCCUCUCAGGGCCCACGUGGCCUUGCAUGACUGAAGUAUCCUGACAGUGACAGCGCUUUCUCAUACAGGCCGCUCAGUCACUGGGCUCACAAGCUUUGUCUGGCCUCAAGCCUGUGGCCUACUGUGCGACGCUUCCCUGGCCCUUUCUACGGAGCUCCCAUCCACCUCCACAGUGGUUGUUUUUGGUCUUGAUGAUUAUCACAGCAGCAGGAAGCAGACUAGGCGACCUCGGAGUGCUCUUCUGCGUGGAAGGUACUUGUGAACCAGAGCUGAGCCCUGGUUGGCCUAGUUCCCGGAAUGGCGAAAGGACUGCACAUGCAGGAGCGAGAGUCCCAGGACACUUUGAUGUCUCUGGCUUGUGGCAGGAGGCCCUGGUUGAGCAAUUAACUCCAAGAAAAGAAUAAACAGAUGUGCAUGUAACCAGGGCUGACCAUUGCAGACUGGCCACAUUGGCAAGCUGGUGACUGUGCUCUGGAGGUGUCUGAAGCCAUCCCCAGGAAACCUUGAACUAGGAUAGCCUCCCUCUCGGCUGUCCUUUAAGAGAUUCGGAGGGGUUAUUACCUCGACCUUUUGACCAAGAGAAAGGGCUCAUUUCUGGCCAGAAUCAGUCUAAGAUUUCACAUUGCUCAACUGUCGGGGGACUCCCGCCUGGGCGCUCACACUCCACUAAUAGCAGAACGAGUGAUUUCUAAGGCAUGCACGAUCCACCGAUCAGUCAUCACCUGGGAAGAAGAAACCUCUACGGAAGAAUUCCCAGAUCAGAUCGGCCUAUGACCAUGUCUGAGAAAAGGUCCCAGCCCACUGUGGGAGGCACUGUUGUUCCUAGGCAAGCCUGGGGUUGUUUAACAAAGAGAGUGAGCCAGCCAGGGGGAGCAAGCCAAGAAGCAGGGCUCUUCUGUUGUCUCUGCUUCCAUUCCUGUCUCAGGUCUCUGCCCUGAUUUCCCAUCAUGUUGAGCUGUUUUCUGGAACUGCGAGAUGAAAUCGACCUUUUCUCCUCGUGUGGUCUAUGGUUAAGGCAUUUGAUCGCAGCAACGGUGCUACAUUAACCUCCUAGGUAUUUCUCAGUCAAAUCAGUUUCACAGUUAAGAUAAACCAAAUCAUACUAUCCUUGCCAAACUAGGGGAGAGCCGGCACAACAGGAAUGAGCGCGGCCAGCCUGCUUUGUCCCCCCCACGUGCAAUAGGUACCCCGCAAAUGCUGUGCUCCUAGGCGACCUCCUCCAAUUGGCUUCACUGGCCCGGCCCCCCUCGUACCCUUGAUCUGCAAGAGACUUCUACAGCCCAUCCCUUCCCAGGCAGGAGUGGCUCCUGCACAGAAAUAGCUAGGACAGGCUUCAGUCUUGCAGACAGGACUCAGUUUCUCAGGGGUGGUUGGUUGGUUACCCCAUGCAAACAGUAACCCAAGAGCAAGAGUCCAAGCCUGGGCUCUGUGCUUCCAGUGACCCACAGUUCCUCACUGCCUGACCUCACCCGUGGGAAGCACUCAUUGAACAAAUGCUGCAGAUGACUUCUGCUGGCAGUGGGCUUGGAGCUAUUUCUGAAGCAGCCAGUGUGGAGUGAGUGGCAGACAUCUGACCAUCGCUCUGACACCACAGAGUGGCCAGCCGGAGUCAGGAGUGGGCCUGAGCAUUUCCAAAUCAGCAACUGGGCCUUAUGAGAGAUGGCGUGGGUGUAAAGGGAAGCGGAGAAACAGAUGCACAAAGAGAACUGUGGUCCCCAGCCAGAGGGGGAGACGGAAAGUGGGUGCGGCCAGGCACGCUGGCGCUGAAAGGAGCCAGGAGGCAGGAACCAAACGCUGUCCUGGGCUAGAAGGACAAUACAAAGCAGGGCAGGGCCGAGGUGGGUGACCUCUCAGGUGCCCAGAAAUCCUACUUCCUUUCACGGGGCAUCUUAGCAUUCCUCAGGACAGACAAUGGAGGCUCCUGGCCAGGCAGCUUCAGAGAGCAGCGCGUGAACACACAGAAGGGAUGUCCCUCUCUGUGAAGCUGGACCAGGGCUGGGCGGUGACCCUAUCUUCUUGAGUGUGUGGGACAGCCCAGUCUAUAACCACACCCUGGGGACAAUGCGCACACAGUUCCAGGCAGAAGAGUGGGAGUUGACAUCGCGCGACUGCCCACUGUGGAUUCUGUGCCUGCUACUCAAAUGUGUACUUUGCUAGCAUGGUUUGUUCAACAAACAUUUACUGGAGGCCGACUAAGCACCAGGGAUGUAGCGAUGAGCAGUGUAAACAAGGCCCUCGGUCCUCUCAUUUAUUCUUCUCUUGCCUCAGUCCAUGGGGUCAGUGCUAGCGUUCCUGUCUUACAAACAAGGAAGCCAAACUGCAGAGAAAUUGAGGAGGCAGACCUGAGGAUUCCAACACAACCCUGGACAGUGGGUUUUUCCCUCUGGGAUUUGUUAACACCUCUCAGGUCCCAAGAGUCCACGGGUCCCAUCUGAAAUCCUGAAGCCACCAAAGUGUAAGAGUCGCUGUUUCUUGCCAUUUCUGGGGAGGUAUGGGGUGGCACAUAGCCUGGAGCCCAGCCUACCAACAAAGCCCUCACCUUCCAGGGUCCCAUGCUUCAGCCCAGGUCCAGGUGGAGAAGUUCAUUGCUCAUUUUCUACAGGCCUGUGUGUGAGCCUGAAGAGCUACACUGGGCAGUUCUCUGGGUCCUCGUUAAACGGCAGGUGCUCUUUGCAGCUGAGAAAGCCGAAACUAAAAAGACAUAGGAGUGGAGCUGUCUUAGUCAGGGUUUCUAUUGUUGUGUUGAGAGACACCAUGACCACGGCAACUCUUAUAAAGAACACAUUUAAUUGCAGUGGGUUGCUUAUAGUUUCAGAGGUUCCGUUCAUUAUCGUCAUGGCAGGGACUGUGUGCAAGCAGACGGGGUGCUUCAGUAGUAGCUGAGAGUCCUACAUCUUGCAGGCUACAGGAAGUCAACUGAGACACUGGGCAGUAUCCUGCACAUAGGAAACCUCCUAGCCUGCCCCCACAGUGACGCACUUCCUCCAACAAGGCCAUACCCACUCCAACAAAGUCACAUCUUUUUUAAAAAAUAUAUAUAUAUUUAUUUAUUCAUUCAUUUAUUAUUUAUACAGUGUUCUGUUUGCAUGUAUGCCUGCAGGCCAGAAGGGAACAACAGAUCUCAUUACAGAUGGUUGUGAGCCACCAUGUGGUUGCUGGGAAUUGAACUCAGGACCUCUGGAAGAGCAGCCAGUGCUCCUAACAGCAGAGCCAUCUCUCCAGCCCAAGUCACAUCUUCUAAUAGUGCCACUCCCUAUGAGCUUUUGGGAGCCAACCACAUUCAAACUACUACAGGAGCUCCGCCUUGCGUGAGUGGGUACCAGGCCUUAGUGUUCCCUCUUAGCCACCAUGCAAUAUGCCACUGUGUUCUGCUGCCUCACGGUCUCUGAAUUCCUGGUCUGCCUCAGGUUAUACAUCUAAAGCUUGCUGUCCAGCCAGGUCAGCAAUACUACCUUUUAGGGGUGUUCCCCUUAUUCUAGAGAGGUAAGGGGGGCUUUCUUCCCCAGCAUGAAGACUCUCAGUUGAUUGGAAGAAUAAGCAGGACCUGGGUUCUGGCAUUCAGGGCUCUCAGAUCCCCUGGUGGGUACAAGAGACCAUUCCAAAGCCUGAACAUCCCAGUAGCAAACCCCUAAGGGUGUCUGCUUCUCCCAGGUCCAUCCCUC
This is a long non-coding RNA of Alexandromys fortis (reed vole), 4168 nucleotides long. RefSeq lists it as uncharacterized. The record is from RefSeq and is a predicted model, not a curated record. The transcript has 6 exons. Lineage: Eukaryota; Metazoa; Chordata; Mammalia; Rodentia; Cricetidae.